UUAGGCGGUUAUUGCGGCGGUGUCCCACCUCUUCCCAUUCCGAACAGAGAAGUUAAGCCCGCUUGCGCC
RNAcentral lists this ribosomal RNA (69 nucleotides) under Leyella stercorea. Lineage: Bacteria; Pseudomonadati; Bacteroidota; Bacteroidia; Bacteroidales; Prevotellaceae. The record is from RNAcentral.